RNAcentral lists this long non-coding RNA (374 nucleotides) under Elaeis guineensis (African oil palm). Its description in RNAcentral is "long non-coding RNA (EGUI_LNC074426)". Lineage: Eukaryota; Viridiplantae; Streptophyta; Magnoliopsida; Arecales; Arecaceae. The record is from RNAcentral.
GGGUUUCAGGGUUAGAUCUUGAAACUUUUUCAAGAUCAUACAGUGGAAGACUAAAAUAAAUCAAAAUUUAUUUUCUAAAAUCAGAAAAUUCCUAGAUCUAAGAUCCUAUUACAUGAUUAUUACAUAGCAUUAAAUCAGAAAUUAAAAUAUAUAAAUAUAGCAUGAACUACAUGUUGAUCAUAUCAACAUAUUUCUAUACCACAUCUAAUGUAUGUAUUAAACAAUAGAUCAGAUCUAUUACCUUGCAAGUUAGAUGCUAUAACCUCGCUGAUCCGGGCUUAAGGAUGAUGUUGCAAGCCGCACACGCAUCCGACCUCUAGGAGUCGUCCACACGAGCCCACGAAUCUCGAUCAGAAGUCCUGCUUCAGGAAAUC